Molecule: ribosomal RNA, 253 nt
Filed under: uncultured bacterium
Lineage: Bacteria
Description: partial 16S ribosomal RNA
Rfam family: Bacterial small subunit ribosomal RNA
Source: RNAcentral
UACAGAGGGUGCGAGCGUUAAUCGGAAUUACUGGGCGUAAAGCGCGCGUAGGCGGCUUUGCAAGCCGGAUGUGAAAUCCCCAGGCCUAACCUGGGAACUGCAUUCGGGACUGCAUUGCUCGAGUAUGGGAGAGGGAAGUGGAAUUCCCGGUGUAGCAGUGAAAUGCGUAGAUAUCGGGAGGAAUACCGAUGGCGAAGGCAGGUCUCUGGGCUGACACUGACGCUCAUGCACGAAAGCGUGGGGAGCAAACAGG